Lytechinus pictus (painted urchin) is the source of this 3378-nucleotide long non-coding RNA. RefSeq lists it as uncharacterized. The record is from RefSeq and is a predicted model, not a curated record. Lineage: Eukaryota; Metazoa; Echinodermata; Echinoidea; Temnopleuroida; Toxopneustidae. The transcript is spliced from 3 exons.
AAAGGUAUGCGCCCGUUUUUCGCCGUUAAUGUUGCAGUAUUUUGGAUCGAGAAUUUAGUGCGACGAAGAUGGCCGUUAAUAAUAGUUCUACUACUUUAAGAACACGGGUCAGAUUUGGACAACGACUUCGAAGGCAUUCGCAGUAGACCAAACAGAGAAAGAGAGGGAGACACAAAAACCACCUGUCUCGGUGUCACACAUGAGGAGUUGAGGAGGAGAUGAAGUCAGUGAAUAUGACCUGGCCUGGGGGAGUUUCCAGAAGAAGGCCCAGAAUCGUCAGAUGCCAGGAGUGGAGAUCCUUCGUUGCUGCCCUACAUGCUAGGAGGCAUCGGGCAGUAGAUGCUGUAAAUUGAAAUGGAAGGUGUCCUGCCAUUAAAUUUUCAUCCCACCUGAACUGCCUUGCCUGCCUGCUCUAUUUUUCAUCAUCGUUCGUUUCGGCUUGUAUGAAGUGAAUUUCACAUUGAUUGGUGGAGCUGCUAAGUUGGCAUUACAGGGCCACGCUGGGGUAUGAUCCUUGGGGUUGAACAUCAUGACUGCUAGUUGGUCGGCGAAGGUGAUGGGAUCGAUCAAUGUCGCAUGGAGUAAGAUCGAUACCAAUCUGCUUUGCUGCAUUUCGAACAAUCUCAUACGGAUACGGAUAUUAUUGCGACAGGAGUACUGCUCGAUGUGGUCAAGCCUAUUUGACAAAGCAUUAUGGUGUUAGUCAUGUUAUCAGAAACAGAUUUUUUUAAAUCACGGAGUUGCUUCAAUUUAGUAUCGAUAGAUAUUUCAAGAACGUGUGGACUAGUGAGUUUUUCAUCAAGAAUUUCACGCAAUUUAUUUUCGUGCUUAUCCAUGUCAUCAUUGAGUUUUUGUCUCUCGCGUUCCAUUGCCACGGCCGCCGCUCUUUGAACGACUGUAUCAAUAUGAUUUAGGUAUGCUGGGCUUUGUUUAGAUCCAGUUAAUGAUGAAUCAGAGGAUUGUGUACAUGCGUUAGCCGAGUGCAAGCGGCCUCUUGAUCUGGUGGAUAUCUUAGACAUGAUGUUAGAGAUUACGUAAUGAUAUAAUUGAAAAGUGGGAUGGGCUGUGCAUCUGCCAACUCACCAGUCAACCAAUUAGAGACGGCCUUCCAAAGUGACACAGCAUGAAAAUAUCAAUAUGGGACUGGUCUAGUCAACACAUAGAUCCUGAAAAAACCAUGGAGACCGCAGACGCAAAAUGACUUCCAUACAUAAAGAUAUGAUGCACAAUUUCCAGUGGGUUCAAAACACUGAACACAUGCUAUGCUGAUACACAGACUAUCAUAAGAACUUUAUCAAGCAUAGGAAAUCUGGUAUGAAAUCUCUCAGCUCACAUAAAAAGCCAACGUAGCUACAUGUAGGGAAGAAAAUGAAAAUGCGUAAUUGCUGAGAAAUGAGCAAAAUAAGCAUGUAAUUCUAUCAAAUGUCAGGUAUUUUUCGAAUCGAUUAUAAUACACUGUCCCACAUAUGCUUUUCUGUGUUUAUAGCGAUCAUCAGAAUUAUCGAUUUUAAGUUUAAAAAUUCAUGAUUUUACAAAGAUACAAGUUUACAUUAAUGUACCAGAUGUAGAUUAUGUACAAUAUAUUGACAAUUAACUUUGAUUUUAUAGAUUUUCUCAAGAAAUAAUUGUUUGCUGCAACUACUGUCUUUUCCUUCUAAGUGAUAGUGUAAUACAACAGUUCCACAAACUAUUUUCAUCAGACUUAUUAAUGUAUGAUUCUUUCACCCAAAUGCAAGCUUCCAUAAAUCAUGAAAACCUUGCAACUCAGGUAUUUUUUUAAAAUACAGUAUAUUUUUUCCUACAUUACAUAGUUGCCUUAAGUUAAUAGCCCACCUCUAGUAGUAACUAUCUUAAAAUGAGUUCGAACAGAAUCCAACAGAAUUACCAGCAAAGUGUAUAUAUAAAAGAUGUGUGCCAAAUAGCUCGGGAAGAAAAUGUGUAAUUGCUGAGAAAUGAGCAAAAUAAGCAUGUAAUUCUAUCAAAUGUCGAGUAUUUUUCGAAUCAAUCAUAAUACACUGUCCAGUCCCUCAUAUGCUUUUCUGUGUUAGUGAUCAUCAGAAUUAUUGAUUUUAAAGAUAAAUUCCAGUUUUGGUAACGAUCUCAAAAUGACUUUUUACAGAAUCUAAUAUAAUGACCACCCAAGUGUUUGUUUGUAUGAAUAAAAAAUAUGUGCCAAAGGAUUCUGGAAGAAAUUGUGUAAUUGCUGAGAAAUAAGCAAAAUAAGCGCGGAUUCGGUCACUUCCGUCGGGUCUUUAUUCCAGCAAUAAUAAUACACUGUCCCACGUGUGCCUAUCUGUGUUGGUGAUCUUCAGUGUGAACAUUUUUCAGCGUAGAUUUCAGGAUUUCACAAAGUUCAGUUUAUGUAACUGUACCAGAUCUAGAUCCUCGAUGAUAUACUGCCAAUUAAGCCUUGUUUUACAGACUUUCUCAUGAAAUCAGUGUUUACUGCAACUACUGGAACUUCUCUUUAAGUUCAAAAUUCAUGAUUUUACAAAGAUACAAGUUUACAUUAAUUUACCAGGGCCCCGUCUUACAAAGAGUUAUGAUUGAUCCGAUCAAUCGCAAAUAUGGACGGUCAGCAACGUUAACAUCUAUUAAGCAUGUUUGUUCAAAAUAUUUUCUAGCUAUGAUGUAUGUUCAUGCAUUCAUUGUUUUCUCAAAAAUUUGCUGCGCUUCUCUUUGCAUACAAAGGACAUUGUGCAAAUUUUUCGUAGAAAAAAAAUUAUGACACUGAUGGGUUUCCUUAGAGUUAUGAUUGAUCAGAUCAAUCGUAACUCUUUGUAAGACGGGGCCCAGAUCUAGAUUAUGUACAAUAUUUUGACAAUUAACCAUAAUUUAAAAGACUUUCCGAAGAAUUAAUUGUUUGCUGCAACUACUCUCUUUUACCCCUAAGUGAUAGUGUAAUACAACCCAAACUUUUCAUAAGAAUUAAUGUACAUGUAUGAUUCUUUCACCCAAAUGCGAGCUUCCAUAAAUCAUGAAAUUAUUCCAACUCAGGUAUUUUUUAAAAAAUACAUUACAUAGUUGUCUAAAGUUGAAGGUAUAUUUAAUUACAAUUUCAACGAAAAAGCUUUAUUCUUGGAAAUCAUUAUGCCUCUGUUAUGUAUUAAUGUGUAUUUAUACAUUUUCAAUUGUAUGUAUUGGUAUAACAAACAUUGUAAUUUCAUUCCUUUGACCCUAAUACUGCAUUUUCAUAGAAAAGUGGGGUUUUUAAAAAAUCUAUUUAGAGUUUUCAACUUUUUGGUUUUCCUUUUUUUUGCUGGUAAUAUCAUGUUAUGCAACUUUUAUUUAUUAAUAGAAUAUUUGCCACGAUUUCGUAAUUGAAAUGCGUACAUGUAUUUGAUUUCGUUUUCCAUUUUUGUAUAUAUUCUUUUUCGG